GAUAUGAACUCUCCGAAAAGAUUACGCUGUUAUCCCUAAGGUAAGUUAAUCUUAUAAUCAAAAAUUCUGGAUCAAAAAAACAUAAAUUAAUGAAAAAAAAUAUUAAAAGUUAAAUAAAUUUUAAUGUCACCCCAACAAAACUUUAUAUUCUAAAAAAUUAUUUAAUAAACAAAAAAUAAAAAUUAAUAAAUAAAGUAAACUUCUAUAGGGUCUUCUCGUCCUAUAAAAAAAUUUUAGCUUUUUAACUAAAAAAUUAAAUUCAAAAUAAUUAAAAAAAGAAAGACUAUUUUUCAUCAAACCAUUCAUACUAGCCUUCAAUUAAAAGACAAAUGAUUAUGCUACCUUCGUACAGUUAAAAUACCGCAGCCUUUUAAUUCUAAAAAAUCAAUGGGCAGGCCUGAUCUUAAAUUAAAGUCAAAAGACC
Molecule: ribosomal RNA, 424 nt
Filed under: Limnoporus genitalis
Lineage: Eukaryota; Metazoa; Arthropoda; Insecta; Hemiptera; Gerridae
Description: partial 16S ribosomal RNA
Source: RNAcentral